GAUGAACGCUGGCGGCGUGCUUAACACAUGCAAGUCGAGCGAGUGAGUUCUUCGGAACGAUCUAGCGGCGGACGGGUGAGUAACACGUGGGCAACCUGCCUCAUAGAGGGGGAUAGCCUCCUGAAAGGGAGAUUAAUACCGCAUAAAAUUAUCGAGUGGCAUCACAUGAUAAUCAAAGGAGUAAUCCGCUAUGAGAUGGGCCCGCGGCGCAUUAGCUAGUUGGUGAGGUAACGGCUCACCAAGGCGACGAUGCGUAGCCGACCUGAGAGGGUGAUCGGCCACAUUGGGACUGAGACACGGCCCAGACUCCUACGGGAGGCAGCAGUGGGGAAUAUUGCACAAUGGGGGAAACCCUGAUGCAGCAACGCCGCGUGAGUGAUGAAGGUCUUCAGAUUGUAAAGCUCUGUCUUUGGGGACGAUAAUGACGGUACCCAAGGAGGAAGCCACGGCUAACUAUGUGCCAGCCGCCGCUGUAA
RNAcentral lists this ribosomal RNA (476 nucleotides) under uncultured bacterium. RNAcentral describes it as "partial 16S ribosomal RNA". It matches the Rfam family "Bacterial small subunit ribosomal RNA", at positions 28 to 523 of the family's 1533-position model. The record is from RNAcentral.